This 674-nucleotide ribosomal RNA is filed under the name uncultured Polaromonas sp. RNAcentral describes it as "bacterial SSU rRNA". It matches the Rfam family "Bacterial small subunit ribosomal RNA", at positions 8 to 681 of the family's 1533-position model. Lineage: Bacteria; Pseudomonadati; Pseudomonadota; Betaproteobacteria; Burkholderiales; Comamonadaceae. The record is from RNAcentral.
AGAGUUUGAUCCUGGCUCAGAUUGAACGCUGGCGGCAUGCCUUACACAUGCAAGUCGAACGGUAGAGUAGCAAUACUCGAGAGUGGCGAACGGGUGAGUAAUAUAUCGGAACGUGCCCAGUCGUGGGGGAUAACGUAGAGAAAUUUACGCUAAUACCGCAUACGAUCUAAGGAUGAAAGCGGGGGAUUCGCAAGAACCUCGCGCGAUUGGAGCGGCUGAUAUCAGAUUAGGUUGUUGGUGAGGUAAAAGCUCACCAAGCCGACGAUCUGUAGCUGGUUUGAGAGAACGACCAGCCACACUGGGACUGAGACACGGCCCAGACUCCUACGGGAGGCAGCAGUGGGGAAUUUUGGACAAUGGGCGAAAGCCUGAUCCAGCAAUGCCGCGUGCAGGAAGAAGGCCUUCGGGUUGUAAACUGCUUUUGUACGGAACGAAAAGGCUCUUUCUAAUAAAGAGGGCCCAUGACGGUACCGCAAGAAUAAGCACCGGCUAACUACGUGCCAGCAGCCGCGAUAAUACGUAGGGUGCGAGCGUUAAUCGGAAUUACUGGGCGUAAAGCGUGCGCAGGCGGUUCUAUAAGACAGAUGUGAAAUCCCCGGGCUCAACCUGGGAAUGGCAUUUGUGACUGUAGAGCUAGAGUACGGUAGAGGGGGAUGGAAUUCCGCGUGUAGCAG